GGAACCAUCAAAGUGUCGGACUACAUGGAUGCAGCUGAAAGAGUGUGCGGGGGGGCGUCGGUCCCGGGGGGGGGUCCGUUCCUGUGUCUGGACCUGGUCUACGUGUCCGUCCUCCUGCAGCAGCUCGGCUUCCCGCCUCACAAGCACCUGAAGCUGGCGAGGACCAUCAAGCAGGUGGAGACCAGCUGGGCUCUCGGAGCGACGUUCCACUACAUCGAGUCCCUGAAGGGAAACUGACCUCUGACCUCCUUGACCUGUGGCUCUCAGCUGACAGUGGGCGGAGUCAGUGGUACCUGCUCGCCACCUGCAGCUGUCAGGCCUCACUACUGCACCUGGGUCACGUGACCGCUCUGACCGUCCAAUCACACGCUGCUUCCUGUUCAGGUGGAUCCAGCCUUGUUUUCUGACCUCGUGGAAACACUCCGACCCGGGAUCCGGUUUCAUGUUCUGGGUUUUAACGAUUUAUAGUGUUUGAAUGUUUUUGUGCCAAAAGUAAAAAUUAUCAAGUAACUUCAGAAGAGAGAAACUUUUCUGAAGCUGAAUGUUUGUUUUUAAAAGCUCUGGUGGGUGAAUUCAACUUUAUAUCAUGAAGUCUCGUCCUUCAUAACUUCUGUCUUUAAAUAAAGUUUAUUUAAUCAAC
Molecule: long non-coding RNA, 640 nt
Organism: Limanda limanda (common dab)
Lineage: Eukaryota; Metazoa; Chordata; Actinopteri; Pleuronectiformes; Pleuronectidae
Exons: 3
Source: RefSeq, a predicted model, not a curated record